AUUGAACGCUGGCGGCAGGCCUAACACAUGCAAGUCGAGCGGAUGAAGGGAGCUUGCUCCUGGAUUCAGCGGCGGACGGGUGAGUAAUUCCUAGGAAUCUGCCUGGUAGUGGGGGAUAACGUCCGGAAACGGGCGCUAAUACCGCAUCCGUCCUGAGGGAGAAAGUGGGGGAUCUUCGGACCUCACGCUAUCAGAUGAGCCUAGGUCGGAUUAGCUAGUUGGUGGGGUAAAGGCCUACCAAGGCGACGAUCCGUAACUGGUCUGAGAGGAUGAUCAGUCACACUGGAACUGAGACACGGUCCAGACUCCUACGGGAGGCAGCAGUGGGGAAUAUUGGACAAUGGGCGAAAGCCUGAUCCAGCCAUGCCGCGUGUGUGAAGAAGGUCUUCGGAUUGUAAAGCACUUUAAGUUGGGAGGAAGGGCAGUAAGUUAAUACCUUGCUGUUUUGACGUUACCAACAGAAUAAGCACCGGCUAACUUCGUG
Molecule: ribosomal RNA, 484 nt
Filed under: uncultured bacterium
Lineage: Bacteria
Description: partial 16S ribosomal RNA
Rfam family: Bacterial small subunit ribosomal RNA
Source: RNAcentral